Molecule: ribosomal RNA, 447 nt
Filed under: uncultured Dechloromonas sp.
Lineage: Bacteria; Pseudomonadati; Pseudomonadota; Betaproteobacteria; Rhodocyclales; Azonexaceae
Description: bacterial SSU rRNA
Rfam family: Bacterial small subunit ribosomal RNA
Source: RNAcentral
CGGUGGAUGAUGUGGAUUAAUUCGAUGCAACGCGAAAACCUUACCUACCCUUGACAUGUCCGGAAUCCUGCAGAGAUGCGGGAGUGCCCGAAAGGGAAUCGGAACACAGGUGCUGCAUGGCUGUCGUCAGCUCGUGUCGUGAGAUGUUGGGUUAAGUCCCGCAACGAGCGCAACCCUUAUCAUUAGUUGCUACGCAAGGGCACUCUAAUGAGACUGCCGGUGACAAACCGGAGGAAGGUGGGGAUGACGUCAAGUCCUCAUGGCCCUUAUGGGUAGGGCUUCACACGUGCUACAAUGGUAGGUACAGAGGGCAGCUACACAGCGAUGUGAUGCGAAUCUCAAAAAGCCUAUCGUAGUCCAGAUUGGAGUCUGCAACUCGACUCCAUGAAGUAGGAAUCGCUAGUAAUCGCGGAUCAGAAUGCCGCGGUGAAUACGUUCCCGGGCCUU